Molecule: small nuclear RNA, 109 nt
Organism: Suncus etruscus (white-toothed pygmy shrew)
Lineage: Eukaryota; Metazoa; Chordata; Mammalia; Eulipotyphla; Soricidae
Source: RefSeq, a predicted model, not a curated record
GUGCUCUCUUCAACAGCACAUAUAUAUAUAAGUUGGAACAAUACAGAGAAGAUUAGCAUGGCCCCUGCACAAGGAUGACACACAAAUUCAUAAAGUGUUCCAUUUUUUU